GCCAGGCGUGGUGGCGGGCACCUGUAAUCCCAGCUACUUGGGAGGCUGAGGCAGGAGAAUCACUUGAACCCAUGAGGCGGAGGUUGCAGUGAGCCGAGAUUACGCCAUUGCACUCCAGCCCGGGUGACAGUGCGAGACUCCAUCAAAAAAAAUAAAUAAAUAAAAUAAAUAAAUAUUAAUAAUAAUUUUAAACAAUUAAAAAAUAUGGGAUUUUUUUUGAGACAGAGUCUCACUCUGUCGCCCAGGCUGGAGUGCAGUGGCAUGAUGUCAGCUCACUGCAACCUCCGCCUCCUGGGUUCAAGUGAUUCUUCUGCCUCA
Molecule: small RNA, 318 nt
Filed under: Homo sapiens (human)
Lineage: Eukaryota; Metazoa; Chordata; Mammalia; Primates; Hominidae
Description: Metazoan signal recognition particle RNA (ENSG00000275840.1)
Source: RNAcentral